AUCUCUCCCUUCCCUCUUCUCUCUCCCCUCACCUCUCCUCCCUUCCCUCGCCUCGCUCCUCUCUGUCCCGACCGAGCAGCAACGGCUGAGCCCUGGCCGAGCCGCCCUCCCCCGAUGUGCCUGCACCGACCCUAGUGCCACUGCCACGCCCGGAAGUGGCUCGAUGCCCAGAGGUUUUUACGCGGCGCGCGGCGGGUCAUCUCACAGUCCCAUAUGCAAGAGAGUCCGGAGCGGAGGCCGGGCGGGACCGCGGGAGGGGGCGGCCGGGGUCCGGUCCGGGGAGGCGGGGACCAGGGCAAUGCACAACGCGCCGGCAGUGACCAGUAGCCCACUAUGGCACCAGCUCCUCGCAUCGCAUCUCCCCUGCUAGGCCUCCUCGUCCCGGCGAAGUGUUGAAGAUGGCUUUGGUGACGGAAAUGUCUUGUUAGCAUCAAGUAAGUGGCGACAUCACAACCCCUACAAGCUUGUGCCUUAAAACAAGAGGAUACAAGAAGUUGGAGUGCUUUUAUGAAGGCUUUUGCGAAUCACUUGAAGCGUUAGUACUUUUGUGAAUGAUUUUGUAAAGUGUUUGCAAAUAUGUGCAAAACAUAAUAACAUGUGUAGGUUUUGUGAAUGAUUUUGUUGUGGUGCUUGUUGAUGGUUUAUGUGAUGUGGAUCUAUCAUUAUGCAAUACUAAUUAAAUUUGU
This is an RNA transcript of Zea mays, 686 nucleotides long. RefSeq lists it as uncharacterized. The record is from RefSeq and is marked validated. Lineage: Eukaryota; Viridiplantae; Streptophyta; Magnoliopsida; Poales; Poaceae. The transcript has 2 exons.